AUGCUGGCAGUUGGGCGGGUGGAAGCGGUGAGCGCGCAUGCAGUUGAUGUCGUUGUACUCGAGCGUGUCGUGGGAGGCGCAGUCGUCGCAGGUGGACCAGACGAUGGGGCCGGAGAGGUCGAGGACCAGCGGGCGGCCGGAAUUGACGGGGAUGCUGUAGAGGGAGGUGGCCGCGUCCCUUCUGACGGCCGUCACCAGCGGCCUGCCGCCGCCGUCGCCCGCCACCGUGCACGCCAGGAUACACAGCGAGACGACGAUGAGGAGGAGGUCUUUUGGUUGCCACAUUUUGAAAUUUGGACAGGCCAAUGCUGUGGUCGAUCGAGAUGCCAUUGCUAG
This 336-nucleotide ribosomal RNA is filed under the name Triticum aestivum (bread wheat). RNAcentral's name for it is "partial small subunit ribosomal RNA". The record is from RNAcentral. Lineage: Eukaryota; Viridiplantae; Streptophyta; Magnoliopsida; Poales; Poaceae.